GUGCCAGCCGCCGCGGUAAGACGAAGGAUCCAAGCGUUAUCCGGAUUCAUUGGGUUUAAAGGGUGCGUAGGCGGGUUUAUAAGUCAGUGGUGAAAGCCGAUCGCUUAACGAUCGAACUGCCAUUGAUACUGUAGACCUAGAGUAUAGAUGAUGUUGGCGGAAUAUGACAUGUAGCGGUGAAAUGCAUAGAUAUGUCAUAGAACACCGAUUGCGAAGGCAGCUGACAAAACUAUAACUGACGCUGAUGCACGAAAGUGCGGGGAUCAAACAGGAUUAGAUACCCUGGUAGUCCGCACAGUAAACGAUGAUAACUAGUUGUUUGCGAUAUACAGUAAGCGACCAAGCGAAAGCGAUAAGUUAUCCACCUGGGGAGUACGCUCGCAAGAGUGAAACUCAAAGGAAUUGACGG
Molecule: ribosomal RNA, 409 nt
Filed under: uncultured bacterium
Lineage: Bacteria
Description: bacterial SSU rRNA
Rfam family: Bacterial small subunit ribosomal RNA
Source: RNAcentral